This 78-nucleotide unclassified non-coding RNA is filed under the name Pseudomonas moraviensis. The record is from RNAcentral. Lineage: Bacteria; Pseudomonadati; Pseudomonadota; Gammaproteobacteria; Pseudomonadales; Pseudomonadaceae.
AGUGAGCCUGCUCGCGAUAGCGGUCGAUCAGUCGACAUCAAUGUUGAAUACCAGACCGCUAUCGCGAGCAGGCUCACU